This 1372-nucleotide ribosomal RNA is filed under the name uncultured bacterium. Its description in RNAcentral is "bacterial SSU rRNA". It matches the Rfam family "Bacterial small subunit ribosomal RNA", at positions 28 to 1381 of the family's 1533-position model. The record is from RNAcentral.
GAUGAACGCUGGCGGCGUGCCUAAUACAUGCAAGUCGAGCGAACGGACGAGAAGCUUGCUUCUCUGAUGUUAGCGGCGGACGGGUGAGUAACACGUGGAUAACCUACCUAUUAGACUGGGAUAACUUCGGGAAACCGGAGCUAAUACCGGAUAAUAUUUUGAACCGCAUGGUUCAAAAGUGAAAGACGGUCUUGCUGUCACUUAUAGAUGGAUCCGCGCUGCAUUAGCUAGUUGGUAAGGUAACGGCUUACCAAGGCAACGAUGCAUAGCCGACCUGAGAGGGUGAUCGGCCACACUGGAACUGAGACACGGUCCAGACUCCUACGGGAGGCAGCAGUAGGGAAUCUUCCGCAAUGGGCGAAAGCCUGACGGAGCAACGCCGCGUGAGUGAUGAAGGUCUUCGGAUCGUAAAACUCUGUUAUUAGGGAAGAACAUAUGUGUAAGUAACUGUGCACAUCUUGACGGUACCUAAUCAGAAAGCCACGGCUAACUACGUGCCAGCAGCCGCGGUAAUACGUAGGUGGCAAGCGUUAUCCGGAAUUAUUGGGCGUAAAGCGCGCGUAGGCGGUUUUUUAAGUCUGAUGUGAAAGCCCACGGCUCAACCGUGGAGGGUCAUUGGAAACUGGAAAACUUGAGUGCAGAAGAGGAAAGUGGAAUUCCAUGUGUAGCGGUGAAAUGCGCAGAGAUAUGGAGGAACACCAGUGGCGAAGGCGACUUUCUGGUCUGUAACUGACGCUGAUGUGCGAAAGCGUGGGGAUCAAACAGGAUUAGAUACCCUGGUAGUCCACGCCGUAAACGAUGAGUGCUAAGUGUUAGGGGGUUUCCGCCCCUUAGUGCUGCAGCUAACGCAUUAAGCACUCCGCCUGGGGAGUACGACCGCAAGGUUGAAACUCAAAGGAAUUGACGGGGACCCGCACAAGCGGUGGAGCAUGUGGUUUAAUUCGAAGCAACGCGAAGAACCUUACCAAAUCUUGACAUCCUUUGACAACUCUAGAGAUAGAGCUUUCCCCUUCGGGGGACAAAGUGACAGGUGGUGCAUGGUUGUCGUCAGCUCGUGUCGUGAGAUGUUGGGUUAAGUCCCGCAACGAGCGCAACCCUUAAGCUUAGUUGCCAUCAUUAAGUUGGGCACUCUAAGUUGACUGCCGGUGACAAACCGGAGGAAGGUGGGGAUGACGUCAAAUCAUCAUGCCCCUUAUGAUUUGGGCUACACACGUGCUACAAUGGACAAUACAAAGGGCAGCGAAACCGCGAGGUCAAGCAAAUCCCAUAAAGUUGUUCUCAGUUCGGAUUGUAGUCUGCAACUCGACUACAUGAAGCUGGAAUCGCUAGUAAUCGUAGAUCAGCAUGCUACGGUGAAUACGUUCCCGGGUCU